AUAUAGCUCAGUGGUAGGAUAUUUGCCUAGCAUGCAUAAGGCCCUGGGUUAGAUCCCCAGCAAUA
This 65-nucleotide transfer RNA is filed under the name Marmota monax (woodchuck). RNAcentral describes it as "tRNA.Ala". The record is from RNAcentral. Lineage: Eukaryota; Metazoa; Chordata; Mammalia; Rodentia; Sciuridae.